GAGGGCAUAGCUCAGUGGUAGAGUGCAUGCCUAGCAUGCAUGAGGUCCAGGGUUCAAUCCCCAGUGCCUCCA
RNAcentral lists this transfer RNA (72 nucleotides) under Camelus bactrianus (Bactrian camel). It matches the Rfam family "tRNA". From Rfam's summary of the family: Transfer RNA (tRNA) molecules are approximately 80 nucleotides in length. Their secondary structure includes four short double-helical elements and three loops (D, anti-codon, and T loops). Lineage: Eukaryota; Metazoa; Chordata; Mammalia; Artiodactyla; Camelidae. The record is from Rfam by way of RNAcentral. RNAcentral also lists the same sequence under 2 other names.